GGUGGGUCUGAGUGCAGUGGUGUUUACAACUAAUCACAACUAGUUACAGAUUCCUCUGUUCAUUUUCCACUCCCACUGUUUCACUUGACCAGCCUUAA
Molecule: Y RNA, 98 nt
Filed under: Microcebus murinus (gray mouse lemur)
Lineage: Eukaryota; Metazoa; Chordata; Mammalia; Primates; Cheirogaleidae
Description: Y RNA (ENSMICG00000020636.3)
Rfam family: Y RNA
About the family: Y RNAs are components of the Ro ribonucleoprotein particle (Ro RNP), in association with Ro60 and La proteins.
Source: Rfam by way of RNAcentral